GGGGAAUAUUGGACAAUGGGCGAAAGCCUGAUCCAGCAAUGCCGCGUGAGUGAUGAAGGCCUUAGGGUUGUAAAGCUCUUUUACCCGGGAUGAUAAUGACAGUACCGGGAGAAUAAGCUCCGGCUAACUCCGUGCCAGCAGCCGCGGUAAUACGGAGGGAGCUAGCGUUGUUCGGAAUUACUAGGCGUAAAGCGCACGUAGGCGGCUUUGUAAGUUAGAGGUGAAAGCCUGGAGCUCAACUCCAGAAUUGCCUUUAAGACUGCAUCGCUUGAAUCCAGGAGAGGUGAGUGGAAUUCCGAGUGUAGAGGUGAAAUUCGUAGAUAUUAGGAAGAACAUCAGUGGCGAAGGCGGCUUUCUGGACUGUAACUGACGCUGAGGCAUGAAAGCGUGGGGAGCAAAC
RNAcentral lists this ribosomal RNA (400 nucleotides) under uncultured bacterium. Its description in RNAcentral is "bacterial SSU rRNA". It matches the Rfam family "Bacterial small subunit ribosomal RNA", at positions 356 to 773 of the family's 1533-position model. The record is from RNAcentral.